This 326-nucleotide long non-coding RNA is filed under the name Bos taurus (domestic cattle). RNAcentral's name for it is "long non-coding RNA NONBTAT001066". The record is from RNAcentral. Lineage: Eukaryota; Metazoa; Chordata; Mammalia; Artiodactyla; Bovidae.
GUUCAUAAGUUUUAAAUGCUUCUCCAAGAUGCUGAAGCAGCAUGUUUGUUAGCUUUUAAAAUAUUUAAAAUAUGAACAGAUUAGGAUUUUAGAGGAAGUAUUUCUAAUGAACUGAGUUUUUACAUUUGCAAUUGAAGGUUGAAUGUUUGAUUUGUUCUGUGCUUGUUUUUUUGUUUUGUUUUUUUAUAGCUUUUCAAAAAUUCUUAAUUUUCUCAACAGCUGGUAAAACACCGAGAAACAAAAUAUGUUAUAUAUGCUGUAGAGACAGAUGUACUCUUAGAAUGCAAUGAUGGUUCAUGCAAUUAAAAUGACUUACAGUUCACCAA